UGGUGGAUUUCUAAACAAGGUGGGACAUUUAAUUCCCAGGGACUUUUUUCUUAUCCAGAUUGCAGCCCUGCCCCCACAAGCCCACAAGACUCAGUUUUACAUUUGCCAAAUGGGUAGAAGACUGGCAAAGAGCUAGAAAUGGAUGGCAAAACUUCAGGGUCACACAGUGGGGGACUUUGGAAUAUAGCCCUGUGUGGGCCUGGGCCCUGGAUGCACAAUCUUUUUCUUCCCUUCCCCCACCCAGCCCAGCCCAGCCGGGUGGACAUUCCAGGCCUCACGUGAUAAAGAGGAGGCCACUGGCCCUCGGGUAAGUCAACAGCCUCUGUCGCGGGAGAGAUAGGAGGCCCAGGCCAGGGUCACCUGCUGAGCCGGGAAAACAGCCCGAUCCAAACACACACAUAAAUAAGGUACCAGCGACAGCCAGCCAGCCAAGGGUCUGUCUUCUGCACAACAACCUCUGCCCUCACCUUAGAAAAGGGGGUGGCAGGCCAGAGGGAGACGCAAGGCUGUCUAGGGGCUUCCCUGGGAGAGUCCCAGCUCUUGCCAGGACGGAUGGGAGAGGAUCUACCAAGUCCCAGGGCUGACUGAGAACUCCGAGGCCAAUCUCUCUCAGCUGUUCCCACUCCUUCCCAGGGCAAAAAUCAAACUGUCACCCCCUCUCUCUUCUCUCCAAGGAGAAAGGACAAUUUCCGUUCGGGGGGGGGGGUGACAGCUGCAGAGCGGGCCGCCAACCCCCCCCCCCCAAGCUCCAGCCUCUCAUCUAGGGAAACUGCUAAAUCAACACCACGCAGUUGCAGGGAGGAAGAGCUGGCCGCAGUCUCCCAGCAUGGCUUUCAAAAAAGCAUUGGAGGGGGCUCAGGUCCCAAUUCUUAUGUUCCAGGGUCAGUUGGAACCCAGGGUAUAGAAGUCUUCUAAAAGGGGAUCAGGUCAAGCUUAGGCCAAAUGUUCCCAACUGCAGGGACCGACACCCCCCACUCCACCCCACCCCCGCGAGCCGGGGCAGCUGAGGUGGCGCCGGGCGUUCAAAUCGCGCUCCAAACAAGUCCGCAGCGACCGCGCUCGCAGCCCCCGCCAGGCGGCCCCAGCGGAAAACUUGAAAGGGACUCUGUUUGCCGGCGGCCCCGGGGCGGCUCCGGCGGGGGCGAGGGCCGAGCGAUCACACACGCCCCCCUUCUCAGCGCUUCCUGAGUGAACGCGGGGGGUGGGAGGCUGGGCCCACUACAAACCCAGGGCUCCGAACGGUGCCCGCGGCGCUAGCGAAGGCGGGGAUCGAGGGGCUGACCGCCCCCUCCCCGCCUCGCCCAGCACCCCCAACCCGAAGACGCGAAUCAGACCACCCAGGGUUCAAGGGGUAAAGGAGGGCGCGGCUGCCAAGCCUUCAGACCCCGUUGCAAGAGGCUCCAGGGAGCAGGUCUUUCCGGAUGAGUCACUACAGAACCCCCCAAAUCUACCGACGCCUCUCAGUGCAGCCCAAGGCACCAGCCCAACUUCGUGCACCCCUUCCGAUUGCCGGGGGUGGGGGGAAAGAAAGGGGGUUGUUCUCUUAUUGGGCGCUUCACCUCUGACAGGCGCCGGAAUGGGCCCCCUCACGUGAAAACUGGUGUCACUCACUUUGUCCAUCCUAGAAAUAAACAAAGCCAGGCGCACCCCGCGCGCCCCGCCGGAAAGCAGCCCAUUCUGGGCAGGGACAACUUCCCCUAGUCAGAAAAUUAACACAUUCCUCUCGCGGCAGCUCAGCCCCUCGCCCCAGGGAAGCAAGGGGAGGGGGGCUCGGGCCGAACUUUAAGGUAAAUUUGGGACCCAAGCAGCAAAGCAGGCGCCUGGGACACCCGCUCCCACCCCAGCUACGCAGCUCGGGGAACACCCCCAUACUCCCUCCCUCGUUUUGCACACCGCUUAGCCCACGAGGGGCUCGGGAGGCAGUCCGAAAGACUCCCCUAGGCUGGGGAGGUAAGGGAGUAAGAGGCCGCGAGGCGCGGUGGAGGUGGGGGAAGAUACUCGGACGGAAAGAAAAAAAAAGGUCAAACUUGAUCAGCCCGCCAGGCACCCCACGGGCAGCGGGGGCGAGGAGCCGGAGGGGAAAUGCAGAAGUGGCCGCCGCCUCUCCCUAGUGGAGGAGGAGGUUUGGCCACGCAUGGACGAGGACGCUCGGAGCAGCUGUUGUCGCCCCCAAACACAGGGCAGUGAGUGAGGUCUGAUGCGGGGAGCACGCACCAGCGAUCUCCAAGCAGCCGCCCCCGCGGCCGGACGCCCGCAGACACCGAGAUGAGGAAACUGAGAUGAUUCCAGCCCAAUCUCUGGGUCGACUACAUUAUGGUACCCCAGGACAGUGGCCUACAAACAUGAAGUCUGGAACACAGCAUCACUGAAGAGGGAGGAAUUGCAUGUGGUUCCGUGUCUUUUUAUCUGUGCUAAGAAUCAAAGAGGGCCUCAGCAUAUUAGAUCCGAGCAAUCUCAGGCACUAAAGGAUCAUCUGGAUUGGGAUCACACAACAGAGAACAGAUGGACAAGAGUACUAGGAUAAAAAAAUGUGUAAGUUAGUAAAGGAUAAAAAACGAAAGUUGACAGAAAUAUGCAAUGGCAACACAUGAGAAAAUUCUAAGAACCUACUGAGAGCUGGGGUAUAGCACUUGCCUAGCCAGCACGAUAACCUGGACUGAUCCUAGUGUGGGGGAAAGAGUUUAUUUAUACAGUAGUGCCUAGUAAUAGUAAUCACUAGAGAUUUGGAGGCGCUCAAACAAGCUGGACCUGUAAUACCAGUAUUAGGAAGGCUGAAAAGCAAGAGAACUGCUGUUGAGUUCGAAGCCAGCCUGGACUACCUACCCACUGGAAAACUGUCUCAAAAAACAAAACAAAACAAAACAAAACCCUCAAACAGAUUUCAUAUUUAGCCAAUAAAAAAUUAAAAUGAAAACAAAUAGCAGAAAGUUAAUGCUGAAAGUCAUUUUAGUUUCCAAGAUAAGAAUCCAUCUCUUUGCGCAAAGUUUCACAAAUUAUGCUAUGUGUACCACUGGCUCUCUAUGCCUGAACUCCUAAAGAACUUAGCCCAGAGAAGUUAACUGAUUUGUUCACUCGGCCUGGAACAGGAAUUAGAAAACAGAAUAAAAUUUUAAAACCCUCAUCUUGUACUGGAGGUACAGGUCAGUGGUAGAGUGCUUGCCUAGGAUACACAAAGCCCUAGGUUCAAUCCCCCCACACCACAAAAAAACAAAACAAAACAAAACAAACAACCCCCCCCCCAACCCACUAGACUUCCAAGUCUUAGACCAAGAAUACUCUCCCGGUAGGUUUAGGAAGGGAUUUUUUUUUUUUUUUUUAAAUCGGUACCAGGGAUCAAACUCAUGACUGCCUGCUUGCAAGGCAGGUGCUUAUGCUGCUGAGCUAAAUCCCCAGCCCCUAAGACCAAGAAUACUAAUCAGAGUCUGUAAAACUCAAUUGUUAGAAGCCCAAAUUGAGGGGAAAAUGCUUUUCAAAAUUCCACACACAACCAUCACUAAUGACUACUUAGCUGGGGCAAACGACAAUCUUGAGACCUAAUGAACACCGUUUUCUCUGGGGCAGGUAGCAGUGUUUCAAGAUACAAUGGAUGUGAUUCAUUUUUGGGUUAAAAGAAUCCAAAUCAAGAGUAUAAAGGCCAAUGCUUGCCUCUGUAGGGCAAUGGCCAGAGACUCAGUAAUAGCAUGCAACACACUACUACCAAGUUCUCAAAGUCUUUUCAGGGCUGGGGAUGUUGUAGCUCAGGUGCACAGUGCCUGCCUGUUAUCAAAACACAGUCUUUUCAGUGAUGAUUUAGAUCUCACUUCCUCAAUGAUAACCUGAUACGUAGCAGAGAAAUCUCAACAGUAUAAUUUCCUCUGUUCAAAUCUGUCAUUAAUAUUCUUCACUGAACUUAAAAGUGGCGAUUGAGGUCACUAUAUUAAGUUCAAGAGACUCUGACGUAAUGAAAUAAACUGAAAACUUUUUAUUGUGAUGCUAACAGAACUCAGCUCAUGUAUGUUCUGAACCAAGAGGUAAAGACUUUUGAGUUCUCUAUCCUACGAAACCAUCAAAUUCAAGAGGAAAAGAUUUACUUAUUUUCCUAUCAAAUCUAUUCUACAAAGACCAAGGACUUGGGGGCUAGAGAUUUAGCUCAGCGGCAUAAGUGCCUGCCUUGCAAGCAGGCAGUCGUGAGUUCAAUCCCCGGUACUGAUAAAAAGGAAAGACAAAAAAGAAAAAAAAAAAAGACCAAGGACUUCUGAGAGAUGAAUAAAAAGCUGACAUGUCCUAUUAUCACUCAAGUUUGACAACCAAAUAAGCUAUUUUCUUGCCUUCUAAGUAUACAGGGAGGCGGAAGGGGAAUGCAACAAUAAAGAUGUUCUCUGACUCUUCCUUUCAAUUUUUUUUAUCGGUACCAGGGAUUGAACUCAUGACUGCCUGCUUGCAAGGCAGGUGCUUACACCGCUGAGCUAAAUCCCAGCCCCUCUUCCUUCAUUCUUAUUGCCCACAGUUCUGGCAGAUGACAUUCCCAAACAUCUUUUCUUCCUAUUGUCAGGUGUCACCACCUGAUGUCCUCUUCAAUAUCAGAAGAACAUUGUAACAGUAAUAAGAAAAGAUCUCUUAUUUCUUGGAAAUGGUAACAAAGAGUAACAGAUUUCUGAAUGCCCAUGAAAUGCUGACUGUAGAAAGAAGAAACCCUGACCCUAUGAAUCUGACAAUACAAGUCAUCUGAAAUUAGAAAUACUGCCACAAUUGUAUCACAAAUUCCCUUUACUUAUUUUUAUAAUAAAGCAGCUUUAGUCAGGUGUGGUGGUACAUGCCUAUAAUCCCAAUAGUUAGGAGGCAAGGGAAGGAGCAUUGUUUCAAAUUCAAGACAGAUUGGACUACACGAUUAGAGUUCAAGAACAGCCAGAAUAGUGAGGCCUUGUCUCAAAAAUUAAAACAAACGAACAAACAAACAAACAACAAGAAAAAAGAAAACCAAACAAUACCCCAUAAAAUUAAAAGCAUAAAUUUAUCUAAGGGUGGUGUGGUGGUGCACAUCUGAGGCAAAAGGUGCUCAAGCCAAUCAAGCCCAGGCCAGACAACUUGGUAAGACCCUGUUUCAAUAUAAAAGUGCUCUACUACAAAGCUACAUCCCAGUUCAAAGUUAAAUUUUAAAGAAACAGCUUUUCUAGGAAAGGAAAGUGGGCUAGUGAUUUUUUUUAGAUUUGGCGAAAGGAUUCUUUGAAUUUCCCAACUCAAGGUGUUGGCUUAUUAUGCAUUAUACAUUCUGUCUCUGUAAAUGGAAUUAAGUUUUAUUUCUACAACCUGAAUAGACUCUGCACUUGAAUAGUUUUACCCAUAUACAUUCCCCAUCAGUUUAUAUUUAUUUUCUUUCUUGUUUUUCUUGGGUAUUAGGAAUCAGACUCAGGACCUUACACUUGCUAGUAUUUUUUUUUUUUUUGUCUUUUUCAUUUUUAUCAGUACCGGGGAUCGAACUCACGACCGCCUGCUUGCAAGACAGGUGCUUAUGCCGCCGAGCUAAAUCCCCAGCCCCUGCAAGUAUAUUCUUUUUUUUUUUUUGCUUUGCUUUUUAUCGGUACCAGGGAUGGAACUCAUGACUGCCUGCUUGUAAAGCAGGCGCUUAUGCCACUGAGCUAAAUCCCCAGCCCCUUGCAAGUAUAUUCUUUAAAAAAAAAAAAAAAAAAAAAAAAAAAAGUAUUUAUUUUCUUUAAUAUCGUAACUGAUAAGCCUCUUUCUUUCUUUCUUUUUUUAGUACCAGGAAUUGAACUUAGGACCUUGCACUUGCAGGGCAGGCACUGUGCCAUUGAGCUGUAUCCCAGCCCCAUCACUUUCAAUUUUAAAAAUACAUAGUUGAGUGUUUUUAUAGUACAAUUAUUUGCUUUAAGUUUUCUAAAGGUCCCUAAACACAUACCUUCAAUGUAGGUGGAAUUCAGUGGUAGAGCACAUGCUUAGGAUGCACAAUGCCCUGGGUUCAAUCCAUAUCGUCAAAAAGGAGGAAAGAAAAGAUGAAGCCAGGCACAGAGGACUUCAAGUUGGAGAACAGCCUAAGUAACCUAGCAAGACCCCUUCUCAAGGGGGUCUGGGAUAUAUCUCAGUAGCACAGCACUUGUCUAGUCUGUGGGAAUCUCAGGGUUCAAUUAAUGAGGAAGGGGGGAUUUAGACAAAAAUUACUGCCCUUGAAAACAGACUGUAUGUGGAAGGAUAAUUAACAUUACACAGAGAAAUAAGGCAACUCUAGGCAUGAGAAAAGGUAAGAAAAUGAGAUGGCAACAGCUUCAGCUGUCUAGUACACCCCCGUAGACAAUUACAUAAUUUUAGCUCUACUGGUCCCAUCAGAUUUACAUCUCUAUUGACACUUGGGGAAUGAAGAGAAACCAACACACCCCGCCACUAGACCAGGUGAUAAAAUGACCAGGUUAUGUACACUUUCUUAAACAGUGUCUGAAAAGGGGCCCUCUAAAAGAAAAAGGGUCACUUCUUUGGAAAAACUAUUUUUGUUCACAACUUUGUAAAAUAUGUUCCUUGACUAGGAGUGGAGAUGUGUAUGUGUGUAAUUCCAGCACUCAGGAAAGUCAAGACAGGAAAAUGAAUCAGAUUUCAAGGCCAGCUUGGAUGAGAGAGAAGAACAUGCCUCAAUAAACAAAAACAAACCAAAAUUACACAAAAAAAGUUCUCGGGUUUUUUGUUAUUUUUGACUAACAGUUCAGAAUUUUUAUUUUUCGAGACAGGGUCUUGUUAUAUAGUUCACACUGGCUCUGACCUCAUGACAAUCCUCCUGUGUUAUUGCUGAGAUUACAAGUGUGGGCUACCACAUUGGGCCAGAAAUUUUAACUUAAUGCUGUGUAGCUGUUUGUUUUUCUGAGAUGGAGUCUUGCUAUGUAGUUUUGUAGUUCAGGGUGGCCUCAAACUUGGGGCAAUCCUCCUGCCUCAGCCUCAUGAGUGCUGGGAUCACAGGCAUGUGCCACCACAACAGUGUGGUAGGAUACACCUAUAAUUCCAGCACUAAAAGGCUGAGGUAGGAGGACUGCCCUGUGAGUUUGAGACCACCCUACAUAGUGAGUUCAAGGCCAGCCUAGACUAUAUAGUGAAACUGUCUCAAAGAAAAACAAAAAUCAAACAACAAACAAAAUGAAUCUUAGGGCCAGGGAUUUAACUCAGCAGGCACAAGUACAUGUCUGGCAGACAUGAAGUUGAGUUCGACACCCCCACCCAUUCAACAGUAUACAAGUCUUCUCAUUUAACUUACAAGACAACAACUGUCCAACACUUUUGACAACUGUACCUUUAUCUGAUUUAUUAAAAUACUUAUAAGGAGCCCAUUAACUGAACUUUUGUUUCUUUUAUCUUCAGAGUAACAAUAUUUAUUAUCAUCCCUAUUUUUUUUUUUUUUUUUGGUCUUUUUCUUUUUUAUCGGUACCGAGGAUCGAACUCAUGACCACACACUUGCUAUCAUCCCUAUUCUACAGGAAAAAACCUAAAGAAUUCAGAAGCUGGGGCUGGGGAUUUAGCUCAGCAGUAUAAGCACCUGCCUUGCAAGCAGGCGGUCGUGAGUUUGAUCCCUGGUACCGGUAAAAACGAAAAAGACCAAAAAAAAAAAAAAAAAAAAAAAAAAAAGAAU
Long non-coding RNA from Cavia porcellus (domestic guinea pig), 7600 nucleotides. RefSeq lists it as uncharacterized. NCBI's taxonomy places the organism in Eukaryota, Metazoa, Chordata, Mammalia, Rodentia, Caviidae. The transcript is spliced from 4 exons. The record is from RefSeq and is a predicted model, not a curated record.